ACGUUCGGGUAAUCGCUGUUAUUCGAUCCAAUCGAAUGGCAGAGGAAAGUCCAUGCUCGCACGGUGCUGAGAUGCCCGUAGUGUUCGUGCCUAGCGAAACAAUAAGCUAGGGCAGCUCGGUUCAUUCUGGGCUGACGGCUGGAAACGGGUCUACGUCCUUUUGGAUAUGACCUUAGUACCUAUAAAAGUGCCACAGUGACGGAGCCUUAUAAGAAAUUAUAAGGGUGGAACGAGGUAAACCCCGCGAGCGAGAAACCCAAAUGAUGGUAGGGGCACUUUCCCUGGGGAAAUGAACCUAAGGGAGAGGUGGAGAAUUCGUUCUCUGCAGAUAGAUGAUUACCGCCAGUGUACGAGACUUUGGUCGCUUGAAGUACAUUGGAACAGAACAUGGCUUACAGAA
Molecule: RNase P RNA, 400 nt
Filed under: Fervidibacillus albus
Lineage: Bacteria; Bacillati; Bacillota; Bacilli; Caryophanales; Bacillaceae
Description: Bacillaceae bacterium MEBiC13591 RNase P RNA component class B
Rfam family: Bacterial RNase P class B
About the family: Ribonuclease P (RNase P) is a ubiquitous endoribonuclease, found in archaea, bacteria and eukarya as well as chloroplasts and mitochondria.
Source: RNAcentral